GUUUGAUCCUGGCUCAGGACGAACGCUGGCGGCGUGCUUAACACAUGCAAGUCGAACGGAAAGGCCCUGCUUGCAGGGUACUCGAGUGGCGAACGGGUGAGUAACACGUGGGUGAUCUGCCCUGCACUCUGGGAUAAGCCUGGGAAACUGGGUCUAAUACCGGAUAGGACUGCACUUUAGUGUGUGUGGUGGAAAGUUUUUUCGGUGUAGGAUGAGCUCGCGGCCUAUCAGCUUGUUGGUGGGGUAAUGGCCUACCAAGGCUUUGACGGGUAGCCGGCCUGAGAGG
Molecule: ribosomal RNA, 286 nt
Filed under: Chaetoceros curvisetus
Lineage: Eukaryota; Bacillariophyta; Thalassiosirophyceae; Chaetocerotales; Chaetocerotaceae
Description: partial Bacterial small subunit ribosomal RNA
Rfam family: Bacterial small subunit ribosomal RNA
Source: RNAcentral